CAGGAAGGGAUACAGGGGCAGAGUAUGGCAGCGGAAGGUGUACAAUGAAUCUCACCCCAAGCUGCUCCACUUCUGCCACUUCCGGUCCGGCGUUAGUCUUCGGUGCCACCCAGGAUUCAGAGCACUGCACCAGGGAUGCACCCUUGUAGGAGUCUGCUGACGGGUCUUCUCUGGUCUCCAGUCGCACCGCCCUGAGAGUCUUCUGCUUCCUGCAGCCAGCCGCCGAUCCGCGCUGUCCUUUUUCCAGCUGCCAGGGGUCCUCCCGGGUCAUUUAUCCUGUGCGAUGGGUGUCCUCCGCGGUGCCUGCCUUCUUCCCUCUCUGGUCCUCUUCCCAUCCUCGGCUGCUAGCGGUGCUCACCACAGGCUGCGGUCACGCUGGUCCUCGACAGUGAGCAUUCCUGCAGCAGGCUCUCUUCUCCCGCGGGACACCCGUCCUCUGCUCCAUCUGACAGAAUCACAGGCAGCCCCUCUCUUCGGCGCUGGUCUUCUUCGGAUCCUGCAGCUAGCUGAACUCCUCCACAAUGGUCCCGACGACUCCACGGCUCCCCGAUCCUCUGUCCUGCAACUGAGAAGAGAAAAGGCCAUGAAGGAACAUUUUUUUUUUAUCAUUACCACCAUGAAAGAAGAAUUUCCAGUCAUUACUAUCCCCAAUGCCCCCAGUGAUUAAGAUUUUCAGAAUAAAACAAUUAAAUUAAAUUAAUUAACUAGGGUAGUAUGGAUGGUGUAAUGGUUAGCAUCACUGUCUCGCAACACUGAUGUCCUGGGUUUGAUUUCCACUAUGUCCAUAUACUGGUAGUUGAGUUGGCUCACAACAAAAAGAUUAGCUGUAGUGUGUGUGCAUUAGAUGGGCCAAUUGGUUCUUAUCUGCCAUCAAAUUCUAAGCUAAUCCUAGGAACUGAGAAGGGAAAAGGCCAUGAAAGAAGAAUUGUCAAUCAUUACCAUCCUCAAUACCUCCCUUGAUUAAUAUUUUUCGGAAUUAAAGAAUUCAAUUUAAUUAACUUCCGAAUCAAUCCUUCUUUCCAUCUGAUCUAGUUCUUGAUUGAAACAUUCUUGGUUACUUUGUAUGUGGUCGCAUCAUUUAUUAAACUGCCAUCCUGUCUGCCACUAAA
Molecule: long non-coding RNA, 1109 nt
Organism: Pseudophryne corroboree (corroboree frog)
Lineage: Eukaryota; Metazoa; Chordata; Amphibia; Anura; Myobatrachidae
Exons: 2
Source: RefSeq, a predicted model, not a curated record